AGGCCCAUAGCUCAGUGGUAGAGCCGGCGUCUUAUACACGCCUGGUCGCUGGUUCGAUCCCAGCUGGGCCUACCA
Molecule: transfer RNA, 75 nt
Filed under: Patescibacteria group bacterium
Lineage: Bacteria
Description: tRNA-Ile
Rfam family: tRNA
About the family: Transfer RNA (tRNA) molecules are approximately 80 nucleotides in length. Their secondary structure includes four short double-helical elements and three loops (D, anti-codon, and T loops).
Source: RNAcentral